GCCAGGGUGGCGGAAUUGGUAGACGCUAGAGGCUUAAACCCUCUUGGGAGCAAUCCCGUGUGGGUUCGACUCCCACCCCUGGCA
Molecule: transfer RNA, 84 nt
Filed under: Candidatus Terryibacteriota bacterium
Lineage: Bacteria; Candidatus Terryibacteriota
Description: Candidatus Terrybacteria bacterium tRNA-Leu
Rfam family: tRNA
About the family: Transfer RNA (tRNA) molecules are approximately 80 nucleotides in length. Their secondary structure includes four short double-helical elements and three loops (D, anti-codon, and T loops).
Source: RNAcentral